AGCAGCCGCGGUAAUUCCAGCUCCAAUAGCGUAUAUUAAAGUUGUUGCAGUUAAAAAGCUCGUAGUUGAAUUUCGGGAUCAAUACGUCUGUCGUGCCUUUGGUACGUACGGGUGUAAUUGGUUUCUACCUUCUGAGGAUCCUUGAUGUCAUUAAUUUGGUGUCUUGGGGAAUCAGGACUGUCACCUUGAAAAAAUUAGAGUGUUUAAAGCAGGCAUACGCUUGAAUACAUUAGCAUGGAAUAAUGAAAUAGGACGUUCGAUUCUAUUUUGUUGGUUUCUAGGAUCGACGUAAUGAUUAAUAGGGAUAGUUGGGGGCAUUAGUAUUCAAUUGUCAGAGGUGAAAUUCUUGGAUUUAUUGAAGACUAACUACUGCGAAAGCAUUUGCCAAGGAUGUUUUCAUUAAUCAAGAACGAAAGUUAGGGGAUCGAAGACGAUCAGAUACCGUCGUAGUCUUAACCAUAAACUAUGCCGACUAGGGAUCGGAUGAUGUUAAUUUUUAAUGACUCAUUCGGCGCCUUAA
Molecule: ribosomal RNA, 520 nt
Filed under: uncultured Glomus
Lineage: Eukaryota; Fungi; Glomeromycota; Glomeromycetes; Glomerales; Glomeraceae
Description: SSU rRNA
Rfam family: Eukaryotic small subunit ribosomal RNA
Source: RNAcentral